ACAGCUGACAUUCAGAUGGUGACAGUUCGUGAGGCAGCAUUACAGGGUGAGUGUAUCAUUAACUCAAUAUUUGACACUGAUGGUGUGUCUAUACCCAUGCCUCAGGUUAAAUAGCUUUGCUAAAUAGCAGUUGACUUUGUAGACGGUGGCAGACUAAAGAAGAAAUGAACCCUUGGGUGUACUGAGACUUUCACAUUGCUGUUUCAUCUACAGGAACAAAAACUGAAGCUGAAAGGCUCCUAGUGUACGAGCGCUGGAAUUUCCUAUGCAAACUGGAGAUGGUAGGGGAAGAGGGAGCCUUUGUGAUAGGGAGGGAGGAGGUGCUGACUGAAGAGGAGCUGACCACCACACUAAAGGUACUGUGCAUGCCUGCUGAGGAGUUCAGAGAGCUUAAAGACCAGGAUGGAGGGGGAGAUGAUAAAAGGGAAGAGGGCAGCCUGACGAUCACAAAUAUUCCCAAGCUCAAAGCAUCGUGGAGACAGCUGCUUCGAAACAGUGUUCUACUGACUUUGCAGACCUAUGCCACAGACU
This 531-nucleotide small RNA is filed under the name Pongo abelii (Sumatran orangutan). RNAcentral describes it as "retained intron". The record is from RNAcentral. Lineage: Eukaryota; Metazoa; Chordata; Mammalia; Primates; Hominidae.